This 75-nucleotide transfer RNA is filed under the name Lachnospiraceae bacterium. RNAcentral describes it as "tRNA-Gln". It matches the Rfam family "tRNA". Rfam says of the family: Transfer RNA (tRNA) molecules are approximately 80 nucleotides in length. The record is from RNAcentral. RNAcentral also lists the same sequence under 8 other names. Lineage: Bacteria; Bacillati; Bacillota; Clostridia; Lachnospirales; Lachnospiraceae.
UGGGGUAUCGCCAAGCGGUAAGGCACGGGACUUUGACUCCCGCAUUCGUAGGUUCAAAUCCUGCUACCCCAGCCA